AUCAGGACUUCUGUUAGUAACCUAGCAGCCGCCAUUCCAUUCCCACCUUCGUCACCGGCUUCACCACCAUACAACCUCAACCGCUGUUGCACUUCGCGGGCGAAAAAGCUUCAUGAUAGCCGCAACACCACCGUCCGGUGCGAACCAGAUACAUCCCACCGUGACCACAAUAGCAUCACAACUCUCAACCUUCUUUUUGGACGUAUGGAUCGCCUCGAUUCUAUACGAGUUACUGGUGUUGCCGCUGCAAUCCGUUGCCGCGAUCGUCUAUUCUGAACAUGUUACCCUUAACACCAUUGCCGUCUCACACUCCGCCGCCACAGCCACAACUUCAUCGUCCCAACCACUAAUCCCAAACCAGCCGAGCUUUAUUAUUGCAUCAUACUAGCCACCACGAAACCGCCUUGACUUGUUUUCGGUUACGUGUAACAAGCGCAACAUCAAAUCUGUUAUGUCUAGUCGUCAUUUGAGGUAAAG
Long non-coding RNA from Helianthus annuus (common sunflower), 477 nucleotides. RefSeq lists it as uncharacterized. The transcript is spliced from 2 exons. Lineage: Eukaryota; Viridiplantae; Streptophyta; Magnoliopsida; Asterales; Asteraceae. The record is from RefSeq and is a predicted model, not a curated record.